CCUACGGGCGGCAGCAGUGGGGAAUUUUGGACAAUGGGGGCAACCCUGAUCCAGCCAUUCCGCGUGAGUGAAGAAGGCCUUCGGGUUGUAAAGCUCUUUCGGCAGGAACGAAACGGUGAGCUCUAACAUAGCUCGCUAAUGACGGUACCUGAAGAAGAAGCACCGGCUAACUACGUGCCAGCAGCCGCGGUAAUACGUAGGGUGCGAGCGUUAAUCGGAAUUACUGGGCGUAAAGCGUGCGCAGGCGGUU
Molecule: ribosomal RNA, 250 nt
Filed under: Weissella confusa
Lineage: Bacteria; Bacillati; Bacillota; Bacilli; Lactobacillales; Lactobacillaceae
Description: partial 16S ribosomal RNA
Rfam family: Bacterial small subunit ribosomal RNA
Source: RNAcentral